UCGUGCAGCCGGGGAGUCAGCGGUGCCCUGAACCUGCAAUCCGCUACAGCAGGGGUGAUACUGAACCGAGGACUGUCCAUUGUAUGGCUGCCUCUUAUAAGUGGCGUUGACGUCUGGGUCUCGCGCAACGGGAAUUCAUGAACCGUGUCAGGGCAGGAAUGCAGCAGCACUAAGUGAAACCUCCCGUGUGCCGUGAGGGUGCCUGGGCCGAGUUAACUGUAAGAGUAACGCGUAUGGUGGCUUUUCGAAGGGAAGUGCACGA
Molecule: signal recognition particle RNA, 262 nt
Filed under: Lachnospiraceae bacterium
Lineage: Bacteria; Bacillati; Bacillota; Clostridia; Lachnospirales; Lachnospiraceae
Description: signal recognition particle sRNA large type
Rfam family: Bacterial large signal recognition particle RNA
About the family: The signal recognition particle (SRP) is a universally conserved ribonucleoprotein involved in the co-translational targeting of proteins to membranes.
Source: RNAcentral